Small nucleolar RNA from Balaenoptera musculus (blue whale), 134 nucleotides. The record is from Ensembl. NCBI's taxonomy places the organism in Eukaryota, Metazoa, Chordata, Mammalia, Artiodactyla, Balaenopteridae.
GAUGCCAGACCUUCUGGCCCCAGGAGUGCAGCUGGUCUGCUGCACCUGUGACAUUGGGUCAGAGAGGAAGUGGCUAUUUCUAUGCUCAGUGCUCAGAACAGUGGGCACUAAGAAUGGUUUGUAGCUGGACACAG